Molecule: ribosomal RNA, 495 nt
Filed under: uncultured bacterium
Lineage: Bacteria
Description: partial 16S ribosomal RNA
Rfam family: Bacterial small subunit ribosomal RNA
Source: RNAcentral
GACGAACGCUGGCGGCGUGCCUAAUACAUGCAAGUAGAACGCUGAAGGAGGAGCUUGCUUCUCUGGAUGAGUUGCGAACGGGUGAGUGACGCGUAGGUAACCUGCCUGGUAGCGGGGGAUAACUAUUGGAAACGAUAGCUAAUACCGCAUAACAGUAGAUAUCGCAUGAUAUCUACUUGAAAGGUGCAAUUGCAUCACUACCAGAUGGACCUGCGUUGUAUUAGCUAGUUGGUGAGGUAACGGCUCACCAAGGCGACGAUACAUAGCCGACCUGAGAGGGUGAUCGGCCACACUGGGACUGAGACACGGCCCAGACUCCUACGGGAGGCAGCAGUAGGGAAUCUUCGGCAAUGGACGGAAGUCUGACCGAGCAACGCCGCGUGAGUGAAGAAGGUUUUCGGAUCGUAAAGCUCUGUUGUAAGAGAAGAACGAGUGUGAGAGUGGAAAGUUCACACUGUGACGGUAUCUUACCAGAAAGGGACGGCUAACUACGUG